RNAcentral lists this ribosomal RNA (267 nucleotides) under uncultured bacterium. RNAcentral's name for it is "partial 16S ribosomal RNA". It matches the Rfam family "Bacterial small subunit ribosomal RNA", at positions 91 to 354 of the family's 1533-position model. The record is from RNAcentral.
CGGACCGGCGCACGGGUGAGUAACACGUAUGCAACCUGGCCGUCACAGGUGGAUAACCGGAAGAAAUUCCGACUAAUACAGCAUAACACUUCUGAGGGACAUCCCUUGGGAGUCAAAGGAGGCAACUCCGGUGACGGAUGGGCAUGCGGCGCAUUAGGUAGUUGGUAGGGUAACGGCCUACCAAGCCGACGAUGCGUAGGGGUUCUGAGAGGAAGGUCCCCCACAUUGGAACUGAGACACGGUCCAAACUCCUACGGAAGGCAGCAG